GCCAUGGGAGCGGUUUCUCCUCUCCUGCGCCACUGAAUUGAGCUGUAAUGGUCAGCGGGCGCUGGAAGAGAGGGUGCCGCAACUACUGGUGGUAGUGCACUGAAGAGCGCUGUCCCCUGUAAGCGCCGGCGAGUCACUCGAGAAGGUGGAGAUCGGGAGGCGGAGACUUAUGGAGGGCGCCGACAUCCUGCAAGGCGGAGCGGCAUCCAGAGUGACAGGCCGGGGGAGCGCUGGAGCAAUACUGAGAGGCGGCGACAUCCGUAUUGGAGGAGCGGCACCCAGAGUGACAGGCCGGGGGAGCGCUGGAGAGGUCAGGAGAGGCGGCAACAUCCGGAGAGGCAGAGCAGUAUUCAGCAGCAGCAUCAAUACAAAGAGCCGGCACGUACAGGGGGACAUCAGCUGUCAGGUCCGACCAGCGCUUAUAAGGUCAUCCCAGCCCUGCUGAGUGCCUGCCUAUCGGUGAGCUCAAGAGGGAUAAUUGCAGCCUCACUGCCCACCAAUGAGAGUGAGAAAGGGGAGUGGCUAAACUUCAAGGCUUCCAGCUAUUGACAGGAGUCAAUAGUGAAAACGUCUGAGGUACCCGAGCAUGACACUCAAAUACAAGGAAUCCAACACAGCCGGCAAUGACGUCUUCCAUAAAUUCUCUACCUACAUCAAGAACCAGUCACCAGAACAUGAUGAUCAUCUAGAAAAGAGUUUCCUGCGGUCGCUGCUAAUGCCUGACCAUUACCUGAAGACCCCGCUACCUCACAAACUGGCCAAGGACCCCAAAAUAACUGUGUCACAAAGGAAAUUCCUGGACGGAGAUAAUCUGACCCUGCCGGACUGUAAUCUCUUGCCCAAACUGUACAUCAUCAACGUAAAUUGUAUAUGCAUUGUAAUAAGGGACCAGGAGUCCAAAUUAUGGAUGUAGGGACUAGGGAGAGGUCAGUAACUGUAUAAUUGUCCUGGUUUUUGGACCUACCUAAUUUUGGUUUUUAAUGCCUUGCAUAGUUGCAUUAAAUUUAGCAUUUU
This is a long non-coding RNA of Pseudophryne corroboree (corroboree frog), 1014 nucleotides long. RefSeq lists it as uncharacterized. The record is from RefSeq and is a predicted model, not a curated record. Lineage: Eukaryota; Metazoa; Chordata; Amphibia; Anura; Myobatrachidae. The transcript has 3 exons.